UCUCUCUCUCUCUCUCUCUGUCUGCAAAUCACCUUCUAUCUUGCAAACCACAUCAUGUCUUACAAAUCAAACCUCCACAUUAUCUCCUACAAAAUCAUAGUCUCCUACAUAUCCUCACUCUCUCUAAUAAACAAACCAUGUCAAAAAAUUAAAAUCAUUCAAUGAUCUAAGCAAAUCAAAGCAAAAUUUAAAAAGGAAAAGUUAAAAUUUUACAUUUUUCACAUCAAAGGCUUAAACAUCUUCAAUUCAUUGUUGUCUGAAGAUGUGCAUCAAUGGCUUCAAUGAUCUUAAAAAAUCGAAAGAGAGAGGGAACUCAAAACUCCACCCAAAAUCACAUGCUUGAGAGAUAGAGGGGACCCGAAGCUCUAGUAUCACCAUUCCCCUCCCCUUGGCAUGUUAGCAUCCUACGAAGUUGUCUAGGUAUUGUACGGCCUUGUCUUCUCUAGACAUAGCUAGGGGGAACAUAUUGGCUAUGGCUUGGCUUUGAUUCACAAAAGGAGGGCUUGGCUAGGGAGAGUUUGGCUUCAAUUCUCAAAUGGAGGGCUUGGAUAUGAUUCACAAAGAGGGUUUUACCUAUUACAUGUGUUAGAGAGGAGAAAUUAUAUCCAUUCAUGUACAUAUGUCCACGUGGGAUCAUGGUAAUACCAUAAAAUUGCUCAUUAGAGAGAGAAGCAGAUGAGGAGACUUAGAUGCGUGAGAUUGUUUGAGAGAAAAAAGAGAAUUUUUUAAUUAUAGAUUUCUUAUCUCACACUCCUUAAACAACACUUGUAUUACUCUCUUAAUUUUUGUUAAAAAGGACAAAAUGAAAA
This 809-nucleotide unclassified non-coding RNA is filed under the name Hevea brasiliensis (rubber tree). The record is from RNAcentral. Lineage: Eukaryota; Viridiplantae; Streptophyta; Magnoliopsida; Malpighiales; Euphorbiaceae.